Molecule: microRNA precursor, 76 nt
Filed under: Mus musculus (house mouse)
Lineage: Eukaryota; Metazoa; Chordata; Mammalia; Rodentia; Muridae
Description: predicted gene, 54745 (ENSMUSG00002076458.1)
Source: RNAcentral
GUGUGUGUGUGUGUGUGUGUGUGUGUGUGUUUGUGCUCAAGCAUAUGUGCACACACACACAAAUGUGCCAUGGAAG